This 72-nucleotide transfer RNA is filed under the name Myotis davidii. It matches the Rfam family "tRNA". Rfam says of the family: Transfer RNA (tRNA) molecules are approximately 80 nucleotides in length. Lineage: Eukaryota; Metazoa; Chordata; Mammalia; Chiroptera; Vespertilionidae. The record is from Rfam by way of RNAcentral.
GCCAGUGUUGCUCAGUGGAUAGAGUGUCGGCCUGAAGGCUGAAGGGUCCAGGUUCGAUUCCGGUCAAGGGCA